RNAcentral lists this transfer RNA (99 nucleotides) under Desulfobacterales bacterium. RNAcentral's name for it is "tRNA-OTHER". It matches the Rfam family "tRNA". From Rfam's summary of the family: Transfer RNA (tRNA) molecules are approximately 80 nucleotides in length. Their secondary structure includes four short double-helical elements and three loops (D, anti-codon, and T loops). Lineage: Bacteria; Pseudomonadati; Thermodesulfobacteriota; Desulfobacteria; Desulfobacterales. The record is from RNAcentral. RNAcentral also lists the same sequence under 1 other name.
GCUCCGGUAGUAUAGUCCGGUCAAGUAUAGCGGCCUCUCGCCCCUAACAACACCGGGAGAAAGCCGCCGACCCGGGUUCAAAUCCCGGCCGGAGCACCA